RNAcentral lists this ribosomal RNA (429 nucleotides) under Acidobacteriota bacterium. RNAcentral's name for it is "Acidobacteria bacterium partial 16S ribosomal RNA". It matches the Rfam family "Bacterial small subunit ribosomal RNA", at positions 355 to 776 of the family's 1533-position model. The record is from RNAcentral. Lineage: Bacteria; Pseudomonadati; Acidobacteriota.
UGGGGAAUUUUGGACAAUGGGGGAAACCCUGAUCCAGCCAUCCCGCGUGUGCGAUGAAGGCCUUCGGGUUGUAAAGCACUUUUUGCAGGAAAGAAACGUCAUGGGUUAAUACCCCGUGAAACUGACGGUACCUGCAGAAUAAGCACCGGCCAACUACGUGCCAGCAGCCGCGGUAAUACGUAGGGUGCAAGCGUUAAUCGGAAUUACUGGGCGUAAAGCGUGCGCAGGCGGUUCGGAAAGAAAGAUGUGAAAUCCCAGGGCUCAACUUUGGAACUGCAUUUUUAACUACCGGGCUAGAGUGUGUCAGAGGGAGGUGGAGUUCCGGGUGUAGCAGUGAAAUGCGUAGAUAUGCGGAGGAACACCGAUGGCGAAGGCAGCCUCCUGGGAUAACACUGACGCUCAUGCACGAAAGCGUGGGGAGCAAACAGG